Molecule: ribosomal RNA, 264 nt
Filed under: uncultured archaeon
Lineage: Archaea
Description: partial 16S ribosomal RNA
Rfam family: Archaeal small subunit ribosomal RNA
Source: RNAcentral
AGACGUCUACAUUAGAUACCCCUGUAGUCCCAGCCGUAAACUAUGCGCGUUAGGUGUAUCGGUGACCACGAGUUACCGAGGUGCCGAAGGGAAACCGUGAAACGUGCCGCCUGGGAAGUACGGUCGCAAGGCUGAAACUUAAAGGAAUUGGCGGGGAGCACCACAACAGGUGGAGCCUGCGGUUUAAUUGGACUCAACGCCGGGAAGCUCACCGGAUAAGACAGCGGAAUGAUUGCCGGGCUGAAGACUCUGCAUGACUAGCUG